This is a long non-coding RNA of Papaver somniferum (opium poppy), 1451 nucleotides long. RefSeq lists it as uncharacterized. The record is from RefSeq and is a predicted model, not a curated record. The transcript has 5 exons. Lineage: Eukaryota; Viridiplantae; Streptophyta; Magnoliopsida; Ranunculales; Papaveraceae.
UCUUCUCUCUCACUCUCUCAGACAGAAGAAGAAAAAAAUACCCCUCCAUUGAAAUUCUCUGAUUCACUCCACAUCUACAAUCUUGAGCACAACACCGUAUCAUUAUACCAUCCUACCUUCUUCUUGUUCUUAGAUCAGUUCUGGCGAGAAGAAAGCAAAUCCAGGAUUGGGUUUUACUUAUUUCAGCUGAUUUGAUUUGGGGAUUUAGGGCAGUUAUUUCAAACAGAUGAUAAUGAUCAAGGAUGAUUUCAUGUUUUUAACUUACGAUUCCUGGAUCAUGGCAGGAAAUACGUACCUCGACCAGCUCAAUGACUUAUGUUCCAAAACAACUUAAGUUUCUCCGCCCACACUAUGGAAAUUUAAAGACUUACUUUGAAACAAUGGAAGAUUCAGAGCUGAAGGUGCAACUUGCUCAAUUAUACUUUUAAGUUUACUAUGUCUCUCAAAGGAGAACGGGUAGGUGAAAGCAUCACACUUUGCUCUUUUUUUUGCACUCACAGUUUGAACUAUAAGUAAGGGAGAACCUUGUAGUUAGACUCCUGAGAGAGCUUGUUUAACUGGAUGUUGAGCAUUUGUUGGUUGUGAUAUCUAUAGUAGUUUUUACUAGGGACGGGUAUACGAGUGAAAUGAGUUUGUCAAGGCUUUUAGGGUAUGAUCUUCUUAAGCACAUGAUACGGUUAAUCUGGACUACAUAUUUAAACAGCUUUAGGAGGUUAUAUCCUCAUCUGGGAGAUAAUGUAUAUGCUACAAUGGUUUACUGGAGUUUAUGUCAAAGAUAAAGUGAUGUGAAGGAGAUUGAAAGGCGUGGAAUUGAACCAAGUGAUGGAGCAAAAUUAGUGAAUCAUCCACAAAGGAGCUACAAAGUGCUUAAAUAUCUAGGAAGAGAAGUAUUCCAAGUUUCCAAGUGCCCAAGUCCAAGACAAAUAGAAGAAGUGCGAUGAAAAGGAGCAAAACGCUCAUAAUCAGGACUCAGCCCAAAGACGGAUCUUAACUCAUUCAAAUUAAGGAUUUCUCAUCAUCAUCUUGAAGAGAAUUGAAAUAUAAAAAUAAUGCAAAAAGAAUGAGGUCAUUCCGAGUUCGAAUGAAGAAGUUGUGGCCAAAACAGUUUUCAUUGAAUACCGAAGACAGUGAAGUCCGCGAAUUGGGUUUGCGAACCGAGUUCGCAGGCUUAUUAUCGAAAAUAUCUGCUGGAAUUUGAAGUUUGCGGACAGGGUACACGAACUUAUCAAAUGGGAAACGUGUAUUCACACCAUGGAAGGUCUAAGGACACGUUUGGAGUCGUUGGGUCAUAUUUUCGGGUCGGGUUCUUAAACCUAACUAAAUACUUGUGUUGAUGGUGGCUUUAGGACCAGGGGUAAAAACGUAAAACCUCACGUAUAGGAUGACGUCAUCGGUGACACUAACACAUUUAUUAGAGCAUUUAACACGCUUACACAAAAAUUACCGGGGUA